Long non-coding RNA from Contarinia nasturtii (swede midge), 784 nucleotides. RefSeq lists it as uncharacterized. Lineage: Eukaryota; Metazoa; Arthropoda; Insecta; Diptera; Cecidomyiidae. The record is from RefSeq and is a predicted model, not a curated record. The transcript has 3 exons.
GCACUACGAACAAACAAACAAACGAUUUCAGAUAAAGAAAGACAAUUGUCGAAUCCAUCGUGAAUCAUCAAGUGUUUCGUCAUUUCAAUGAUUUAGCAUUUUUAAGAAGUUAAAAAUGUUUGUUCACGCAUUUUAAUUUCUUGUCAAAUCGAUUCGACAAUGAUUUCCCUCCACUUUUAUCGAAUCUAUGUGGAACAAAUUUUUAGAACUGUAUACAUUCACAGCGUAGUAUAGAUUCAAUAUAUAUAUAUAUACUAAGACCCAUAUCAGAAGCAGAACUCAUAUCAAACGAAUCAUACAAAUAAAAGAAAUCUCCGCCAUUUUGCAAAGUAUAACACUUUCUCGAAACGUAAUUUAAACAAAUUGAGUCAAACAGCGCAGUAACCAUUAACAUUUUACUUUGUGUAAAGUCGGAAGAAGAGAGGAUAUUUUGCUUGUUUGUUGAAAGACAGAAAUAACACAGGCGGUCGAACUUCGUUUUAUCAGUGGACAACAAAAUGGGACAAACACUAUCCGAACCGGUAACUGAAAAAGAAUCAGCUCAUUGCCAAAACGAUGAACUCGCGAUCAACGAUUUGUACGAACGACACUAGCUUAAACUAUGCAGUAUGGUUUGGUGUAUGUGCAAAGCAUACGAAAUGUAUCCAUACCGAAGAAGAAGAAGAAGAAGAAGAAAACAUGAAUUCAGAAUGUUCUGAAAAUUGAAUAUAUAAAAUGAAACGUUGCACAUUAUUUAGUGAAUAAAAGUCAAUCUCAAUGUUAACCAUGAAUUCAUGGCAUGGUA